RNAcentral lists this ribosomal RNA (420 nucleotides) under uncultured Pseudomonadota bacterium. Its description in RNAcentral is "bacterial SSU rRNA". It matches the Rfam family "Bacterial small subunit ribosomal RNA", at positions 31 to 497 of the family's 1533-position model. Lineage: Bacteria; Pseudomonadati; Pseudomonadota. The record is from RNAcentral.
GAACGCUGGCGGCACGCUUAACACAUGCAAGUCGAACGAGAUCUUCGGAUCUAGUGGCAGACGGGUGAGUAACGCGUGGGAACCUGCCCAGUAGUAGAGAAUAACUUGAGGAAACUUAAGCUAAUACUUUAUACACCCCUCGGGGAAAAGCUUUAUGCGCUAUUGGAUGGGCCCGCGUUAGAUUAGUUUGUUGGUGAGGUAAUGGCUCACCAAGACUACGAUCUAUAGCUGGUCUGAGAGGAUGAUCAGCCACACUGGGACUGAGACACGGCCCAGACUCCUACGGGAGGCAGCAGUGGGGAAUAUUGGACAAUGGGGGCAACCCUGAUCCAGCGAUGCCGCGUGAGUGAUGAAGGCCUUCGGGUUGUAAAACUCUUUCGUCAGGGAAGAUAAUGACGGUACCGAAGAAGAAGAUCCGGC